Long non-coding RNA from Dendroctonus ponderosae (mountain pine beetle), 1260 nucleotides. RefSeq lists it as uncharacterized. Lineage: Eukaryota; Metazoa; Arthropoda; Insecta; Coleoptera; Curculionidae. The record is from RefSeq and is a predicted model, not a curated record. The transcript has 3 exons.
GCGUGUCCUGCUUAUCUUGCGCUGUUAACUGACCAGUCUUAGCGAAGAUUAUUUUGAAGCCCACACUUAUCUGGGAGUUGUUAAAAGUCUCGAUACCGCUAGAAGAGUUAGUGAAAUCGCACUGCAGGAUGGACAUCCAUAUACCUUUACCGUGCAUUUCAAGCUCCUCUCCUCAAACUCCUUUGGUAUCUUUAGUGCCUAACAAAAAGGUUGCAAGCGAAAGACCUGAAGAGGCAGAUUCCAAGAAUUUCGACCCAUGUGAACAAUGCUCGGUUGACUUUAGGAUAACUUUGCUGAUGCUGCUCCUGCAAGACUUUUAGACAAACCAAAUAUAGCUUUGAAGAUUUAGGCUUUUAGCCGGUAAGAUUGACCAAGUCCCUUCACAUGUAAUUUUAUAUAAAAUAAAAAAUAAAGCCCCGAAUUGAGCCGCGCUAUGCAGAUGAUACAGUGUGAUGUUCAACCGGUGAGCCUUUCCUCACGCCGCCAAUGCGAAAAGGGCUGAAGCAACCGUUCAAUUAAGCAUAGGUACCAGAUUUUGUGGUGAUUGCGGGUGCCCAUCUCAUGCAUAUUCAGCUUCUUUUGUUGGACUGUGGCCGGAGGAAGCCAAGUAUUAAUCUUCAGCUAUUUACACAACCCGACUGAUAAUCGGCUUCUUCCAAGAAUGCGACCCACGCGGCUUCGGAACCAAAGCCCGACAAAGACAAUGGUCAUUAUCUCACUCUUGGGCGAGAUGAUGGACGGUUUGGUUCUGCCACGUUAUUUAUAGCUUGUCCGCAACGGCCGUUAAAAAGCCCAUUUCAAUGUGAAAAAGUGUAAAUUGGCAGCGAUAUUUCCAGCAUUCCUGGUGAAACUUAGAAGGUGCGAAAAGGUUUUACCAGGUCAACAAGGACUGAAGAAAGGUUUGUAAAGAUGGAUGUGGAAAACUUUCAGAUUCAUUGCAGCUUUAUAGAGAAGAUUCACACCGUUAUGCAAAGCGAAGCGGCUUAACUGCUAGAAAGAAGGCCCUCGCCCCAUGCGAUCGAGCAUGGGCAACUGAGACCCCGCUGGCUUCGUGACGGUCGAAAUUCCGGAAUUUUAAAACAAACUAAAACAAACACCGAAGGCCUGAAAACCGUCACGAACCAAUUGUUUUCUUGUUGCUUGUUUUGCAUAGUGGCUGGCCGUUUUUGCAGCAUUUCCAUACAACCAUAUCGGAGGCAGCUGAUUAGAGGUGGUCAACCGUACCUUGGUUUGACCAAAAAAUUGGGUUGGAGUUGUCAA